This 398-nucleotide ribosomal RNA is filed under the name uncultured Glomeromycotina. Its description in RNAcentral is "SSU rRNA". It matches the Rfam family "Eukaryotic small subunit ribosomal RNA", at positions 569 to 970 of the family's 1831-position model. The record is from RNAcentral. Lineage: Eukaryota; Fungi; Glomeromycota.
AGCAGCCGCGGUAAAUUCCAGCUCCAAUAGCGUAUAUUAAAGUUGUUGCAGUUAAAAAGCUCGUAGUUGAACUUCAGGCCUGGCUGGACGGUCCGCCUUCUGGGUGAGCACUGUCUGUGGUCGGGCUUUACCUUCUGGCGAAGCGGCAUGGCCUUUACGGGUCGUGACGGGGAACCAGGACUUUUACUGUGAAAAAAUUAGAGUGUUCAAAGCAGGCAUACGCUUGAAUACAUUAGCAUGGAAUAAUGGAAUAGGACAAUGGUUCUAUUUGUUGGUUUCUAGGACUGUUGUAAUGAUUAAUAGGGAUAGUUGGGGGCAUUAGUAUUCAAUUGUCAGAGGUGAAAUUCUUGGAUUUAUUGAAGACUAACUACUGCGAAAGCAUUUGCCAAGGAUGUUUU